RNAcentral lists this ribosomal RNA (447 nucleotides) under uncultured bacterium. Its description in RNAcentral is "bacterial SSU rRNA". It matches the Rfam family "Bacterial small subunit ribosomal RNA", at positions 331 to 792 of the family's 1533-position model. The record is from RNAcentral.
CCAGACUCCUACGGGAGGCAGCAGUGGGGGAUAUUGGACAAUGGGGGAAACCCUGAUCCAGCGACGCCGCGUGAGUGAAGAAGUAUUUCGGUAUGUAAAACUCUGUCAGCAGGGAAGAAAGAAAUGACGGUACCUGACCAAGAAGCCCCGGCUAACUACGUGCCAGCAGCCGCGGUAAUACGUAGGGGGCAAGCGUUAUCCGGAUUUACUGGGUGUAAAGGGAGCGUAGACGGCGAUGCAAGUCUGAAGUGAAAGGCGGGGGCCCAACCCCCGGACUGCUUUGGAAACUGUAUGGCUGGAGUGCAGGAGAGGUAAGUGGAAUUCCUAGUGUAGCGGUGAAAUGCGUAGAUAUUAGGAGGAACACCAGUGGCGAAGGCGGCUUACUGGACUGUAACUGACGUUGAGGCUCGAAAGCGUGGGGAGCAAACAGGAUUAGAUACCCUUGUA